Molecule: ribosomal RNA, 202 nt
Filed under: Malassezia pachydermatis
Lineage: Eukaryota; Fungi; Basidiomycota; Malasseziomycetes; Malasseziales; Malasseziaceae
Description: partial large subunit ribosomal RNA
Source: RNAcentral
CGUGAAAUUGUCGAAAGGGAAGCGCUUGAAGUCAGCCAUGCUGCUUGAGACUCAGCCUUGCUUUUGCUUGGUGUAUUUCUCGGUAGCAAGCCAGCAUUGGUUCGAGUCGUCGGAGAAGGGUAUGAGAAAUGUGGCAUCCUCGGAUGUGUUAUAGACUUGUACUGGAUACGACGAUUUGGAUCAAGGAACGCAGUGUGCCUCU